CAGCCGCCACGGUAAUACGGAGGGUGCAAGCGUUAAUCGGAAUUACUGGGCGUAAAGCGCACGCAGGCGGUCUGUCAAGUCAGAUGUGAAAUCCCCGGGCUUAACCUGGGAACUGCAUUUGAAACUGGCAGGCUAGAGUCUUGUAGAGGGGGGUAGAAUUCCAGGUGUAGCGGUGAAAUGCGUAGAGAUCUGGAGGAAUACCGGUGGCGAAGGCGGCCCCCUGGACAAAGACUGACGCUCAGGUGCGAAAGCGUGGGGAGCAAACAGGAUUAGAGACCCGUGUAGUCCCUGUCUCUUAUAC
This 301-nucleotide ribosomal RNA is filed under the name uncultured bacterium. RNAcentral describes it as "partial 16S ribosomal RNA". It matches the Rfam family "Bacterial small subunit ribosomal RNA", at positions 509 to 807 of the family's 1533-position model. The record is from RNAcentral.